This 65-nucleotide transfer RNA is filed under the name Cucujoidea sp. 11 KM-2017. RNAcentral's name for it is "tRNA-Tyr". It matches the Rfam family "tRNA". Rfam says of the family: Transfer RNA (tRNA) molecules are approximately 80 nucleotides in length. The record is from RNAcentral. Lineage: Eukaryota; Metazoa; Arthropoda; Insecta; Coleoptera.
GGUGAAGUGGCUGAGUUGUAAGCAUUAGACUGUAAAUUUAAGUACGAGGGAAUACUCCUUUACCA